Molecule: non-coding RNA, 24 nt
Filed under: Rattus norvegicus (Norway rat)
Lineage: Eukaryota; Metazoa; Chordata; Mammalia; Rodentia; Muridae
Source: RNAcentral
UGGAUGCACACUGUUUACACUGGC